Molecule: ribosomal RNA, 156 nt
Filed under: Amphiprion percula (orange clownfish)
Lineage: Eukaryota; Metazoa; Chordata; Actinopteri; Pomacentridae
Description: 5.8S ribosomal RNA (ENSAPEG00000004441.1)
Rfam family: 5.8S ribosomal RNA
About the family: 5.8S ribosomal RNA (5.8S rRNA) is a component of the large subunit of the eukaryotic ribosome. It is transcribed by RNA polymerase I as part of the 45S precursor that also contains 18S and 28S rRNA. Functionally, it is thought that 5.8S rRNA may be involved in ribosome translocation.
Source: Rfam by way of RNAcentral
AACUCUUAGCGGUGGAUCACUCGGCUCGUGCGUCGAUGAAGAACGCAGCUAGCUGCGAGAACUAAUGUGAAUUGCAGGACACAUUGAUCAUCGACACUUCGAACGCACCCUUGCGGCCCCGGGUUCCUCCCCGGGGCCACGCCUGUCUGAGGGUCG